RNAcentral lists this ribosomal RNA (700 nucleotides) under uncultured bacterium. Its description in RNAcentral is "bacterial SSU rRNA". It matches the Rfam family "Bacterial small subunit ribosomal RNA", at positions 94 to 824 of the family's 1533-position model. The record is from RNAcentral.
AGUGGCGGACGGGUGAGUAACACGUAAGAAUUUGCCUUUAGGAGGGGGAUAACAACUGGAAACGGUUGCUAAUACCCCAUAUGCUUUCGAGUGAAACGGUUUUUCCGCCUAAAGAGAAGCUUGCGGCUGAUUAGCUUGUUGGUGAGGUAAUGGCUCACCAAGGCGACGAUCAGUAUCUGGUUUGAGAGGACGAUCAGACACACUGGAACUGAGACACGGUCCAGACUCCUACGGGAGGCAGCAGUGGGGAAUUUUCCGCAAUGGGCGAAAGCCUGACGGAGCAAUACCGCGUGAGGGAUGAAUGCCUAUGGGUUGUAAACCUCUUUUUUCAGGGAGGAAUAAAAUGACGUGUACCUGAAGAAUAAGCAUCGGCUAACUCCGUGCCAGCAGCCGCGGUAAGACGGGGGAUGCAAGUGUUAUCCGGAAUCACUGGGCGUAAAGCGUCUGUAGGUGGUUUAAUAAGUCAACUGUUAAAUCUUGAGGCUCAACCUCAAAAUCGCAGUCGAAACUGUUUGACUAGAGUAUAGUAGGGGUAAAGGGAAUUUCCAGUGGAGCGGUGAAAUGCGUAGAGAUUGGAAAGAACACCAAUGGCGAAGGCACUUUACUGGGCUAUUACUAACACUGAGAGACGAAAGCUAGGGUAGCAAAUGGGAUUAGAUACCCCAGUAGUCCUAGCUGUAAACAAUGGAUACUAGAUGUU